Molecule: long non-coding RNA, 1258 nt
Organism: Gossypium arboreum
Lineage: Eukaryota; Viridiplantae; Streptophyta; Magnoliopsida; Malvales; Malvaceae
Exons: 2
Source: RefSeq, a predicted model, not a curated record
AAAGAAGAUAAAAUCAAACCGACAAAGCAUUAAAUAAAUAAAAAAGUACAAUGCACAACCCACCACCCAAGUAGAUUUUCCGUUCCUUGAGCAUCUGAGCAAAGAAACCCUUCAGUUGCUUUCAUAAAGGCGCUGGGAUUGUCCAAAAAAUCUACAUAACACAUUUCAGAGUUUCUAAAAGGGGCCUUUUAGAAUCGAUGACGACGCUUCAGUGUUUUGAUUAGCCAUACCAAACCUGAAAAGACCCAAAAUAACUCUCCGAUCUCGUUACUGAUUUGCUUCUCCAUCCCAAAUCAUUGAAUCGUCGAUUGAGGUGUCAUUAGGAGCCUAAUUGUUGUCAAUCUACUUCUACUACCUUAUGCGCGAAAGAGGGAAUAGCUCUAGCAAGAUAAGUUUCUACAUUUCUUUUUAGUCCCUCUAUUGCCAAGAGACGUGCAACACCAUUUGCAUGUUUUGACACAUAAUGAAAAACGCAGUGUUGAUACCGCUCGCAUGUUGUUCUUAUGUUACAGAUGUAUGCCCCCAUUACUGACCUUUCGACUCUCUUUUCUUUUAGUUUUCAGAUCACAGCCAAGGAGUCACCUUUGAUUUCCACACUUGAAAACCCAAUUGAAAGCCUGUCUCAGUCGCUUGGAAACAAGCCAUUGCCUCCGCUGCAAAAUGUGAAGAUAUGUUGACAUGCAUUUUAGUUUUUGAACAGAGAACACUACCUGAAUAAUCCCGAAUAAUAAUAUCUGAACAAGAUUUGUUAUUUUGUUGACAAAAUCCUGCGUCAAAGUUUAUUUUAACGAAAUGUUCUUGUGGCAACUUCCAAGACACUAUAGGCAUUCCUGGAACACAUGUUCCAUCAUUUCAACACCAUUGUGACAUCGAGGACAAUUUUCUGAAAUAAUCAGUCUCCCAUAAUUCAAAUUAGCAUAAGUAGAUAGAAAAUUAUUUGUAAUCCUCCAGGCUGUUAUUUUAAUUUUGGAGGGCUGGUCUAGGCUCCAAAGUCUCUUGUACAGAUUAGCGUAGGGAUAGGAAUUUUCUUCAGUAAAAAUUUUCUUGAUGAUUAUGUAUUAACCAUUUGUAAGCAUUGCACACUAUGUACUCCCUUAUUGCUUAUCCAUUCCAAGCUCAAAAAUCCUCAUGUGGAACAUUAGACAGAAGGAUGGCUAAGAUUCGCCUUGCAUCUUCUUCUAUAAGGGUAGAGUGUAUAACAUCCUCCUUCCAUUUCCUUGUUUUCGAAUCAAUUAAAUCUGCCACUGUUUGAAUAGAA